GUGCGACAACUGCAGUGGAUGAAGAACAACAAUUUUCAGAUUUUACUUAUCUCCAAUAACACAGGAGGAGAUCUUCUAUGUUUCAACGUCUAUAUCCCCCCCGUGUGUACUUCCUCUCAGACAGUACAAAUCUGGGAAGAUUUGGAGUCAUGCUUGGAGAAGGCCAAAAUAGAAUUCCCUGACUGGAACAUCCUGCUGGCAGGUGAUUUUAACGCCAGGAUAGGCAGCGACAUCAAUUCGUAUAGCUCCAAAACCCAGUUUCUACCAGAGGCAGACUGGCUUAUCCCUUGGAGUUCUGAUGAAAAGGUCUUGAACAAGG
Molecule: non-coding RNA, 319 nt
Organism: Podarcis lilfordi (Lilford's wall lizard)
Lineage: Eukaryota; Metazoa; Chordata; Lepidosauria; Squamata; Lacertidae
Source: the annotation of a GenBank genome assembly